AGUGAACGCUGGCGGCGUGCCUAAUACAUGCAAGUCGAACGAUGAAGUCCUAGCUUGCUAGGAUGGAUUAGUGGCGCACGGGUGAGUAAUAUAUAGUUAAUCUGCCCUACACAGAGGAACAACAGUUGGAAACGACUGCUAAUACCUCAUACUCCUAUUUGACAUAAGUUAAAUAGGGAAAGUCUUUUCGGUGUAGGAUGAGACUAUAUCGUAUCAGCUAGUUGGUAAGGUAAUGGCUUACCAAGGCUAUGACGCGUAACUGGUCUGAGAGGAUGAUCAGUCACAUUGGAACUGAGACACGGUCCAAACUCCUACGGGAGGCAGCAGUAAGGAAUAUUGCGCAAUGGGGGAAACCCGGACGCAGCAACGCCGCGUGGAGGAUGACACUUUUCGGAGCGUAAACUCCUUUUAUCAGGAAAGAAUAAUGACGGUACCUGAUGAAUAAGCACCGGCUAACUCCGUG
This 463-nucleotide ribosomal RNA is filed under the name uncultured bacterium. Its description in RNAcentral is "partial 16S ribosomal RNA". It matches the Rfam family "Bacterial small subunit ribosomal RNA", at positions 29 to 507 of the family's 1533-position model. The record is from RNAcentral.